GAAAUGCGAUAAGUAAUGUGAAUUGCAGAAUUCAGUGAAUCAUCGAAUCUUUGAACGCACAUUGCGCCCGCCAGUAUUCUGGCGGGCAUGCCUGUUCGAGCGUCAUUUCAACCAUCAAGCCCCCAGGCUUGUGUUGGGGACCUGCGGCUGCCGCAGGCCCCGAAAACCAGUGGCGGGCUCGCUGUCACACCGGGCGUAGUAGAUUUUUCGUCUCGCCCAGGGCGUGCUGCGGGUUCCGGCCGUUAAAAAGCCUCUCUUUUAACCCAAGGUUGACCUCGGAUCAGGUAGGAAGACCCGCUGAACUUAAGC
This 309-nucleotide unclassified non-coding RNA is filed under the name plant metagenome. RNAcentral describes it as "partial contains 5.8S ribosomal RNA, internal transcribed spacer 2, and large subunit ribosomal RNA". The stretch from base 1 to 105 matches the Rfam family "5.8S ribosomal RNA", at positions 50 to 154 of the family's 154-position model. The record is from RNAcentral.